Molecule: long non-coding RNA, 881 nt
Organism: Beta vulgaris subsp. vulgaris (sugar beet)
Lineage: Eukaryota; Viridiplantae; Streptophyta; Magnoliopsida; Caryophyllales; Amaranthaceae
Exons: 4
Source: RefSeq, a predicted model, not a curated record
UCUCUUUCCCUCUCCACUCACCCUCAAUCUGCUUCUCUUUCUCUCUCUUCCCCUCUUCACUCAUUCUCGAUCUGCUUCUCUUUACAUGUCCAUGAAGAGCAUUGCCGCAUCCUGCCGCCGCUGCUGAAGUACCAAAUUUUCAAGCCUUCUCUCACGAACAGCAGGAGGUAGAAUAGUUCGUUGAUGUCGUUAUAUCUGAAGAUGGUUUAGGAAAUGCACUUUAUGAACUUGUUUCUUGUGUAAACGAUGGGGUAAAGGCUACAAAUUAGCAAUGCACUUCAACAAGUGAUUCUAGAGUUAUUUCUGAUAGGGACUGCAAGGAUACAAUGGUAACUAAGUCCUCUCACCUCAAUGUUUUCAACGAACAAGACUGAUGCACUUCGACAAGUGAUACAGGAGUUACUCCAGGUGAGAACUCCAAGAACAUGCCGAUAACUAACUUGUACCGUCUGGAAGAUGAUCACAUUGCAGAUGUUCUCUGGAAUCUUAUCGCUUGAUAUUAUGACUGCCCUUUUUGCAAUGGUGGUUUAUCUGAUACUUGAUAAAUGCAUUCUUGCUGGAGAGCUUCAAGAAAUGAGUAAGAAGGUUCAGCUCCUCUUACAACGGUUCAGUUGCGUAAUUAAUGACUACAUGAUGCAUGAAUUUCUGUGAUAUUCUCUGAAUUAUGUAGUAUAUAUUGGAUGUUUAAUUGUUGAGCAGAGAGGGAAAUUUAAUUAGAGUUGAAAAAAGGAUUGUGUUUAUCAUUAUACAGUUAGGUAGUCACUUUUAGAUUGUGUUUAUCAUUUGAAUUUGUUGUUGGAUGAAAAAAGGACUUACAUGAAGGAUGAAGAUGUAUUGACGAAUUCCUUUUUUUUUUAUGUAUUGAACAUUUGUUUUUCCUA